GACGAACGUUGGCGGCGUGCUUAACACAUGCAAGUCGAACGGAAAGGCCCUGCUUUUGUGGGGUGCUCGAGUGGCGAACGGGUGAGUAACACGUGAGUAACCUGCCCUUGACUUUGGGAUAACUUCAGGAAACUGGGGCUAAUACCGGAUAGGAGCUCCUGCUGCAUGGUGGGGGUUGGAAAGUUUCGGCGGUUGGGGAUGGACUCGCGGCUUAUCAGCUUGUUGGUGGGGUAGUGGCUUACCAAGGCUUUGACGGGUAGCCGGCCUGAGAGGGUGACCGGCCACAUUGGGACUGAGAUACGGCCCAGACUCCUACGGGAGGCAGCAGUGGGGAAUAUUGCACAAUGGGCGGAAGCCUGAUGCAGCAACGCCGCGUGCGGGAUGACGGCCUUCGGGUUGUAAACCGCUUUCGCCUGUGACGAAGCGUGAGUGACGGUAAUGGGUAAAGAAGCACCGGCUAACUACGUGCCAGCAGCCGCGGUGAUACGUAGGGUGCGAGCGUUGUCCGGAUUUAUUGGGCGUAAAGGGCUCGUAGGUGGUUGAUCGCGUCGGAAGUGUAAUCUUGGGGCUUAACCCUGAGCGUGCUUUCGAUACGGGUUGACUUGAGGAAGGUAGGGGAGAAUGGAAUUCCUGGUGGAGCGGUGGAAUGCGCAGAUAUCAGGAGGAACACCAGUGGCGAAGGCGGUUCUCUGGGCCUUUCCUGACGCUGAGGAGCGAAAGCGUGGGGAGCGAACAGGCUUAGAUACCCUGGUAGUCCACGCUGUAAACGGUGGGUACUAGGUGUGGGGUCCAUUCCACGGGUUCCGUGCCGUAGCUAACGCUUUAAGUACCCCGCCUGGGGAGUACGGCCGCAAGGCUAAAACUCAAAGGAAUUGACGGGGCCCCGCACAAGCGGCGGAGCAUGCGGAUUAAUUCGAUGCAACGCGUAGAACCUUACCUGGGUUUGACAUGGAUCGGGAGUGCUCAGAGAUGGGUGUGCCUCUUUUGGGGUCGGUUCACAGGUGGUGUAUGCCUGUCGUCAGCUCGUGUCGUGAGAUGUUGGGUUAAGUCCCGCAACGAGCGCAACCCUUGUUCACUGUUGCCAGCACGUUAUGGUGGGGACUCAGUGGAGACCGCCGGGGUCAACUCGGAGGAAGGUGGGGAUGACGUCAAGUCCUCAUGCCCCUUAUGUCCAGGGCUUCACGCAUGCUACAAUGGCUGGUACAGAGAGUGGCGAGCCUGUGAGGGUGAGCGAAUCUCGGAAAGCCGGUCUCAGUUCGGAUUGGGGUCUGCAACUCGACCUCAUGAAGUCGGAGUCGCUAGUAAUCGCAGAUCAGCAACGCUGCGGUGAAUACGUUCCCGGG
RNAcentral lists this ribosomal RNA (1343 nucleotides) under uncultured bacterium. Its description in RNAcentral is "16S ribosomal RNA". It matches the Rfam family "Bacterial small subunit ribosomal RNA", at positions 28 to 1378 of the family's 1533-position model. The record is from RNAcentral.